CAGUAGCCGCGGUAAUACGUAGGGUGCGAGCGUUAAUCGGAAUUACUGGGCGUAAAGCGUGCGCAGGCGGUUGUGUAAGACAGGUGUGAAAUCCCCGGGCUUAACCUGGGAACUGCGCUUGUGACUGCACAGCUAGAGUAUGGCAGAGGGGGGUGGAAUUCCACGUGUAGCAGUGAAAUGCGUAGAGAUGUGGAGGAACACCGAUGGCGAAGGCAGCCCCCUGGGCCAAUACUGACGCUCAUGCACGAAAGCGUGGGGAGCAAACAGGAUUAGAUACCCGAGUAGUCCCUGUCUCUUAUAC
This 301-nucleotide ribosomal RNA is filed under the name uncultured bacterium. RNAcentral's name for it is "partial 16S ribosomal RNA". It matches the Rfam family "Bacterial small subunit ribosomal RNA", at positions 509 to 807 of the family's 1533-position model. The record is from RNAcentral.